AUACUUAGCAGGCAGAGAAGACCGUGGUCACAAAGAUCGUUUUCCCAGGGUGAGGCUUAUCCAUUGUACUCUUUUUGCUGACCACUGCAAUUUCCCGAAAUAUGGGAAACUUAACUGCAUAAUUUGCGGUAGUGGGAGACUGUGUUCAUGCUCUCCCC
Small nuclear RNA from Suncus etruscus (white-toothed pygmy shrew), 158 nucleotides. RefSeq annotates it as U1 spliceosomal RNA. The record is from RefSeq and is a predicted model, not a curated record. The transcript has a single exon. Lineage: Eukaryota; Metazoa; Chordata; Mammalia; Eulipotyphla; Soricidae.